RNAcentral lists this ribosomal RNA (460 nucleotides) under uncultured bacterium. RNAcentral's name for it is "partial 16S ribosomal RNA". It matches the Rfam family "Bacterial small subunit ribosomal RNA", at positions 338 to 795 of the family's 1533-position model. The record is from RNAcentral.
CCUACGGGUGGCUGCAGUGAGGAAUAUUGGUCAAUGGGCGAGAGCCUGAACCAGCCAAGUCGCGUGAAGGAUGACGGCCCUACGGGUUGUAAACUUCUUUUGUCAGGGAGCAAUUGAGUCCACGUGUGGUCUUAGCGAGAGUACCUGAAGAAAAAGCAUCGGCUAACUCCGUGCCAGCAGCCGCGGUAAUACGGAGGAUGCGAGCGUUAUCCGGAUUUAUUGGGUUUAAAGGGUGCGUAGGCGGAAUAUCAAGUCAGCGGUAAAAUGUCGGGGCUCAACCCCGGCCGGCCGUUGAAACUGGUUUUCUAGAGUUGGAGAGAAGUAUGCGGAAUUCGUGGUGUAGCGGUGAAAUGCAUAGAUAUCACGAAGAACUCCGAUUGCGAAGGCAGCAUACCGGCUCCAUACUGACGCUGAGGCACGAAAGCGUGGGGAUCGAACAGGAUUAGAUACCCCAGUAGUC